GUAGGGAAUAUUGGGCAAUGGAUGCAAGUCUGAUCCAGCCAUGCCGCGUGUGUGAAGAAGGUCUUCGGAUUGUAAAGCACUUUAAGUUGGGAGGAAGGGCAGUAAGUUAAUACCUUGCUGUUUUGACGUUACCGACAGAAUAAGCACCGGCUAACUUCGUGCCAGCAGCCGCGGUAAUACGAAGGGUGCAAGCGUUAAUCGGAAUUACUGGGCGUAAAGCGCGCGUAGGUGGUUUUGUAAGUUGGAGGUGAAAUCCCCGGGCUCAACCUGGGAACUGCCUCCAAAACUGCAUGACUAGAGUACGGUAGAGGGUAGUGGAAUUUCCUGUGUAGCGGUGAAAUGCGUAGAUAUAGGAAGGAACACCAGUGGCGAAGGCGACUACCUGGACUGAUACUGACACUGAGGUGCGAAAGCGUGGGGAGCAAACAGGAUUAGAUACCCGUGUAGUCC
RNAcentral lists this ribosomal RNA (450 nucleotides) under uncultured bacterium. RNAcentral describes it as "partial 16S ribosomal RNA". It matches the Rfam family "Bacterial small subunit ribosomal RNA", at positions 354 to 796 of the family's 1533-position model. The record is from RNAcentral.